This 1337-nucleotide ribosomal RNA is filed under the name uncultured bacterium. Its description in RNAcentral is "bacterial SSU rRNA". It matches the Rfam family "Bacterial small subunit ribosomal RNA", at positions 28 to 1381 of the family's 1533-position model. The record is from RNAcentral.
GACGAACGCUGGCGGCCUGCUUAACACAUGCAAGUCGAACGGAAAGGCCCUUCGGGGUACUCGAGUGGCGAACGGGUGAGUAACACGUGGGUGAUCUGCCCUGCACUUUGGGAUAAGCCUGGGAAACUGGGUCUAAUACCGAAUAGGACCACGCGCUUCAUGGUGUGUGGUGGAAAGCUUUUGCGGUGUGGGAUGGGCCCGCGGCCUAUCAGCUUGUUGGUGGGGUAAUGGCCUACCAAGGCGACGACGGGUAGCCGGCCUGAGAGGGUGACCGGCCACACUGGGACUGAGAUACGGCCCAGACUCCUACGGGAGGCAGCAGUGGGGAAUAUUGCACAAUGGGCGCAAGCCUGAUGCAGCGACGCCGCGUGAGGGAUGACGGCCUUCGGGUUGUAAACCUCUUUCAAUAGGGACGAAGCGCAAGUGACGGUACCUAUAGAAGAAGCACCGGCCAACUACGUGCCAGCAGCCGCGGUAAUACGUAGGGUGCGAGCGUUGUCCGGGAUUACUGGGCGUAAAGAGCUCGUAGGUGGUUUGUCGCGUUGUUCGUGAAAACUCACAGCUUAACUGUGGGCGUGCGGGCGAUACGGGCAGACUAGAGUACUGCAGGGGAGACUGGAAUUCCUGGUGUAGCGGUGGAAUGCGCAGAUAUCAGGAGGAACACCGGUGGCGAAGGCGGGUCUCUGGGCAGUAACUGACGCUGAGGAGCGAAAGCGUGGGGAGCGAACAGGAUUAGAUACCCUGGUAGUCCACGCCGUAAACGGUGGGUACUAGGUGUGGGUUCCUUCCUUGGGAUCCGUGCCGUAGCUAACGCAUUAAGUACCCCGCCUGGGGAGUACGGCCGCAAGGCUAAAACUCAAAGGAAUUGACGGGGGCCCGCACAAGCGGCGGAGCAUGUGGAUUAAUUCGAUGCAACGCGAAGAACCUUACCUGGGUUUGACAUGCACAGGACGCCGGCAGAGAUGUCGGUUCCCUUGUGGCCUGUGUGCAGGUGGUGCAUGGCUGUCGUCAGCUCGUGUCGUGAGAUGUUGGGUUAAGUCCCGCAACGAGCGCAACCCUUGUCCUAUGUUGCCAGCGGGUUAUGCCGGGGACUCGUAGGAGACUGCCGGGGUCAACUCGGAGGAAGGUGGGGAUGACGUCAAGUCAUCAUGCCCCUUAUGUCCAGGGCUUCACACAUGCUACAAUGGCCGGUACAAAGGGCUGCGAUGCCGUGAGGUGGAGCGAAUCCUUUCAAAGCCGGUCUCAGUUCGGAUCGGGGUCUGCAACUCGACCCCGUGAAGUCGGAGUCGCUAGUAAUCGCAGAUCAGCAACGCUGCGGUGAAUACGUUCCCGGGCCU